GAAUUUGUUACUGUUCCACAUCUUCCCAACCUUCCCGGAGUAGCUGAUACCGAAGAACAUUUCUGCCACCCUUUCGUUGUGGCAUCGAGCUGAGUUUUGCUAAAGCGGAGGAGCUAUGAAAGCUAUCAGGAACGAUUGAAGUCAAGGGUGAGUCGAGAUCAUCGAGUUCAUCAUCACUCGUGUAUGAUUUUUUCAGAAAAGCUGAUCCACUUCUUUGAAGGAAUCCGGUUCCAAUCUCGCCCAUAAAGGAAUUGAGGGAGGCUGCAGGAGGUGGUGAGUAGACUGUAGGACUUGCAAUGCACGGAUAGCUGGUGAGCGACUCUACAGAAGCAUCCGCAGUUUCCUUCAUCGUGGAAAACAAUGUAAGACAAUGCCAUUUCGCAAUAAUAUAGACAACAGUAUACUGUUCAAUUGCAACUUGAACAAUAGAAUAAUACUAAGUAGCCACGUGCAUAUUCGACCUUCUUUCAAGUCAUUGGUAAUAUCUACAAAGAGAUUUAAUUAUCAACGGAGGACCCACCUCAGAAUCCAGAGAGUCGAUAAUGUUCUGUGGAAUGGGGUCUGGACAGAAUUCGUCUUGAACAAAAUUACUAAAAACCCUCUUGAUCAAUGUCGGAUCAAAUGUCGGGCAAACCUUCAAACAGGAAAUUAGAACUAUGAGUAUGAAACAAAUGGAAUAUACCUAUAGAAUAAAGGACCUUGCUACAUGUAUAUCAAGUUUUACAUAAUGAGUUACAUAAUGUCAUAUGUCACUCUAUCAUUUAUCAAUUUAAAAUACAGUCAACUUUUUCAUUUAAUCUUUUCCCUUCAUAUCAUUUUAUGUAAUCCCUUAUGUACAAUUUUUAUGAACAAGUAACAUAAUCCUAGAAUAAAAGAUUGCUCUAGAGAAUAAACAAUUCUGUUUAGUAAAUGAGUCACCUCUUUCCUGAUGGAGUCGUCAGCUAGCAUUCCAAAGGGAAGCAUCAUGAGGUCACUUAAAGCAUGGAGACGGCGGAACGCCUUGAAAGAUUUUGGCCUCUUC
RNAcentral lists this long non-coding RNA (1021 nucleotides) under Olea europaea (common olive). RNAcentral's name for it is "long non-coding RNA (OEUR_LNC010346)". The record is from RNAcentral. Lineage: Eukaryota; Viridiplantae; Streptophyta; Magnoliopsida; Lamiales; Oleaceae.